GUCGAACGGGAUCCAUCGGGCUUUGCUUGGUGGUGAGAGUGGCGAACGGGUGAGUAAUGCGUGACCGACCUGCCCCAUACACCGGAAUAGCUCCUGGAAACGGGUGGUAAUGCCGGAUGUUCCAGUUGAUCGCAUGGUCUUCUGGGAAAGCUUUCGCGGUAUGGGAUGGGGUCGCGUCCUAUCAGCUUGACGGCGGGGUAACGGCCCACCGUGGCUUCGACGGGUAGCCGGCCUGAGAGGGCGACCGGCCACAUUGGGACUGAGAUACGGCCCAGACUCCUACGGGAGGCAGCAGUGGGGAAUAUUGCACAAUGGGCGCAAGCCUGAUGCAGCGACGCCGCGUGAGGGAUGGAGGCCUUCGGGUUGUAAACCUCUUUUAUCGGGGAGCAAGCGUGAGUGAGUUUACCCGUUGAAUAAGCACCGGCUAACUACGUGCCAGCAGCCGCGGUAAUACGUAGGGUGCAAGCGUUAUCCGGAAUUAUUGGGCGUAAAGGGCUCGUAGGCGGUUCGUCGCGUCCGGUGUGAAAGUCCAUCGCUUAACGGUGGAUCCGCGCCGGGUACGGGCGGGCUUGAGUGCGGUAGGGGAGACUGGAAUUCCCGGUGUAACGGUGGAAUGUGUAGAUAUCGGGAAGAACACCAAUGGCGAAGGCAGGUCUCUGGGCCGUUACUG
RNAcentral lists this ribosomal RNA (670 nucleotides) under Bifidobacterium longum. RNAcentral's name for it is "bacterial SSU rRNA". It matches the Rfam family "Bacterial small subunit ribosomal RNA", at positions 61 to 742 of the family's 1533-position model. Lineage: Bacteria; Bacillati; Actinomycetota; Actinomycetes; Bifidobacteriales; Bifidobacteriaceae. The record is from RNAcentral.